Molecule: ribosomal RNA, 1370 nt
Filed under: metagenome
Description: bacterial SSU rRNA
Rfam family: Bacterial small subunit ribosomal RNA
Source: RNAcentral
CGAAAGCGAUGCUAAUACCGGAUAAAAUCCUUAUUUCUUUGGCGAUAAGGAUCAAAGGUGGCCUCUACAUGUAAGCUACUGUUUGGGGAUGAGCCCGCGUACCAUUAGCUUGUUGGCAGGGUAAUGGCCUACCAAGGCAACGAUGGUUAGCUGGUCUGAGAGGAUGAUCAGCCACACUGGAACUGACACACGGUCCAGACUCCUACGGGAGGCAGCAGUGAGGAAUUUUGCGCAAUGGGGGAAACCCUGACGCAGCAACGCCGCGUGAGUGAAGAAGGCUUUAGGGUCGUAAAGCUCUGUCAAGUGGGAAGAACCCGCCUUGAUUUAAUAUAUCAUGGCGCUGACGGUACCACUGAAGGAAGCACCGGCUAACUCCGUGCCAGCAGCCGCGGUAAUACGGGGGGUGCAAGCGUUAUUCGGAAUCAUUGGGCGUAAAGAGCGCGUAGGCGGUCUUGUUAGUCAGAUGUGAAAGCCCGGGGCUCAACCCCGGAAGUGCAUUUGAUACUGCAGGACUUGAGUAUGGGAGAGGGAAGUGGAAUUCCUGGUGUAGAGGUGAAAUUCGUAGAUAUCAGGAGGAACACCAGUGGCGAAGGCGACUUCCUGGACCAAUACUGACGCUGAGGCGCGAAGGCGUGGGUAGCAAACAGGAUUAGAUACCCUGGUAGUCCACGCAGUAAACGGUGAUCACUAGGUGUAGCGGGUAUUGACCCCUGCUGUGCCGCAGUUAACGCAUUAAGUGAUCCGCCUGGGGAGUACGAUCGCAAGAUUAAAACUCAAAGGAAUUGACGGGGGCCCGCACAAGCGGUGGAGCAUGUGGUUUAAUUCGACGCAACGCGAAGAACCUUACCUGGAUUUGACAUCUCGGGAAUUUUGUAGAAAUACGAAAGUGCCCUUCGGGGAACCCGAGGACAGGUGCUGCAUGGCUGUCGUCAGCUGUCGUGAGAUGUUGGGUUAAGUCCCGCAACGAGCGCAACCCCUAUCUUUAGUUACCAUCAUUCAGUUGGGGACUCUGAAGAUACUGCCCCGGUUAACGGGGAGGAAGGUGGGGAUGACGUCAAGUCCUCAUGGCCUUUAUGUCCAGGGCUACACACGUGCUACAAUGGACUGUACAAAGGGUUGCGAGCCCGCGAGGGUCAGCUAAUCCCAUAAAGCAGUUCUUAGUUCGGAUUGGAGUCUGCAACUCGACUCCAUGAAGCUGGAAUCGCUAGUAAUCGUGGAUCAGCACGCCACGGUGAAUACGUUCCCGGGCCUUGUACACACCGCCCGUCACACCAUGAGAGUUGAUUGUACCGGAAGUUGUUGGGCCAACUCAUUAGAGAGGCAGGCACCUAUGGUAUGAUUGAUGAUUGGGGUGAAGUCGUAACAAGGUA